UUUGAUCCUGGCUCAGAUUGAACGCUGGCGGCAGGCCUAACACAUGCAAGUCGAGCGGCAGCACGGGAAGCUUGCUUCCUGGUGGCGAGCGGCGGACGGGUGAGUAAUGCAUAGGAAUCUGCCCGGUAGUGGGGGAUAACCUGGGGAAACCCAGGCUAAUACCGCAUACGUCCUACGGGAGAAAGCAGGGGCUCUUCGGACCUUGCGCUAUCGGAUGAGCCUAUGUCGGAUUAGCUGGUUGGUGAGGUAAUGGCUCACCAAGGCGACGAUCCGUAGCUGGUCUGAGAGGAUGAUCAGCCACAUCGGGACUGAGACACGGCCCGAACUCCUACGGGAGGCAGCAGUGGGGAAUAUUGGACAAUGGGCGCAAGCCUGAUCCAGCCAUGCCGCGUGUGUGAAGAAGGCCCUCGGGUUGUAAAGCACUUUCAGUGGGGAAGAAAGCCUGGUGGUUAAUACCCGUCAGGAAGGACAUCACCCACAGAAGAAGCACCGGCUAACUCCGUGCCAGCAGCCGCGGUAAUACGGAGGGUGCGAGCGUUAAUCGGAAUUACUGGGCGUAAAGCGCGCGUAGGUGGCUUGAUAAGCCGGUUGUGAAAGCCCCGGGCUCAACCUGGGAACGGCAUCCGGAACUGUCAGGCUAGAGUGCAGGAGAGGAAGGUAGAAUUCCCGGUGUAGCGGUGAAAUGCGUAGAGAUCGGGAGGAAUACCAGUGGCGAAGGCGGCCUUCUGGACUGACACUGACACUGAGGUGCGAAAGCGUGGGUAGCAAACAGGAUUAGAUACCCUGGUAGUCCACGCCGUAAACGAUGUCGACUAGCCGUUGGGGUCCUUUCGCGGACUUUGUGGCGCAGUUAACGCGAUAAGUCGACCGCCUGGGGAGUACG
Molecule: ribosomal RNA, 883 nt
Filed under: uncultured Halomonas sp.
Lineage: Bacteria; Pseudomonadati; Pseudomonadota; Gammaproteobacteria; Oceanospirillales; Halomonadaceae
Description: bacterial SSU rRNA
Rfam family: Bacterial small subunit ribosomal RNA
Source: RNAcentral